Molecule: ribosomal RNA, 253 nt
Filed under: uncultured bacterium
Lineage: Bacteria
Description: partial 16S ribosomal RNA
Rfam family: Bacterial small subunit ribosomal RNA
Source: RNAcentral
UACGUAGGGAGCAAGCGUUGUCCGGAAUCAUUGGGCGUAAAGCGCGUGUAGGCGGUUCGGUAAGUCUGCUGUGAAAGUCCAGGGCUCAACCCUGGGAUGCCGGUGGAUACUGUCGGGCUAGAGUGCGGAAGAGGCGAGUGGAAUUCCCGGUGUAGCGGUGAAAUGCGCUGAUAUCGGGAGGAACACCAAUUGCGAAGGCAGCUCGCUGGGACGUUACUGACGCUGAGACGCGAAAGCGUGGGGAGCAAACAGG